Coprinopsis marcescibilis is the source of this 92-nucleotide non-coding RNA. Lineage: Eukaryota; Fungi; Basidiomycota; Agaricomycetes; Agaricales; Psathyrellaceae. The record is from the annotation of a GenBank genome assembly.
GGCUGCCUAGCGCAAUGGUAGCGCGUUUGGCUUCGAUGGGUUAACACAACUCAGGUACCAAAAGGUUGCAUGUUCGAGUCCUGCGGUGGUCA